CCGUGCCAGCAGCCGCGGUAAGUACGGAGGGUGCGAGCGUUAAUCGGAAGUUACUGGGCGUAAAGACGCAUGCAGGUGGUUUGUUUAAGUCAGAUGUGAAAGACCCGGGGCGUCAACCUCGGAAUAGCAUUUGUAAACUAGGCAGACUAGAGUACUGUAGAGGGGGGGUAGGAAUUUCAGGUGUAGCGGUGAAAUGCGUAGAGAUCUGAAGGAAUACCGGUGGCGAAGGCGGCCCCCUCGGACAGAUACUGACACUCAGAUGCGAAAGCGUGGGGAGCAAACAGGAUUAGAUACCCCUGGUAG
Molecule: ribosomal RNA, 303 nt
Filed under: uncultured bacterium
Lineage: Bacteria
Description: bacterial SSU rRNA
Rfam family: Bacterial small subunit ribosomal RNA
Source: RNAcentral